RNAcentral lists this non-coding RNA (682 nucleotides) under Cyphoderus albinus. The record is from RNAcentral. Lineage: Eukaryota; Metazoa; Arthropoda; Collembola; Entomobryomorpha; Paronellidae.
GAAAAGUUUGAUUCUAGCUUAAAAUUUAAGCUUUAUUUAUUUGUGCAUAUAAGAUAUGAUUGGUAGCAUUUAGUAUUAUAUAAAUUUUUGAUAUAGAUGUUUAAAAGUUUAGAAAAAUGUGUGCCAGCAUCUGCGGUUAUACCCAAGAUCUAAUUAAAUUGAGUGAUCAAAUUAAAUUUUAAUCUAUUUUUAUUUUUUAUGUAAUUAAUUUGAGUAAAAUCAUAAUUAUAUUUAUUUAAUUUUAAUAUAUAAUUUACUAUGUUUUAAAAAACCAGGAUUAGAUACCCUGCUAUUAAGCUAAAGUUUUAGUUAAGGUAGUAAAAUUUUUGAAACUUAAAGAAUUUGGCGGUAGUUUAUUCUUUCUAGAGGAACUUGCUCUAUAAACGACAACACACGAUACCUGAAACUUUAUUUUAAUUUAUAUACCGUUKUUAAGUAAGUUGACUUAAUAGUUUAUUUAAGAAAUUUAAUUUUUAAUAAUUCAAAUCAAGGUUUAAUUGAUAAUAAAGAAGAAGUGAGUUACUUUGCUUUUUAUUGUGGAAAUUUUGAAAUCGGAUUUAGAAGUAAAUAAUUUACUUUAUAUAUUUUAACAAAGCUCUAAAAUAUGUACACAUCGCCCGUCGCUCUAAUUUUAAUUUAGAUAAGUCGUAACAAAGUGGGUGCUCCGGAAGGAGCGUCUAGA